Molecule: long non-coding RNA, 577 nt
Organism: Paramisgurnus dabryanus
Lineage: Eukaryota; Metazoa; Chordata; Actinopteri; Cypriniformes; Cobitidae
Source: RefSeq, a predicted model, not a curated record
AUUGUUUGGGAAGAAUUCUGGUAGAAAGGUGACUGGGAAAAGAGGAACACAUUCUACUUUUACUGACUUGAAAAGAAGACUUAAUACUGUCAAGUCUUUUCCAGUUCAAUUUUAUCUUGUGAACAAGUAUAUGGAGAAGACACCAAAAGCUUUAGAUGAGUUAACUCUCCUUCAGGCUGGGAUGGGUCGAAGAACCAUCAAUAUCACAGAUGAUGCUGACCAUUUAUGGUUGUCUAAAAAACUUGAGGAAACCUAUUCCAAAAUGGCUGAUUUAAAGGGGGCAUGGAUGUUAUACAAGGCUGUCGGAGGAUCUGGACAACGAAAAUUGUGUGUAGUUCCCCCUGAGGCAGAAGGCUAUUCAGGUGCUUACCUAAAUACAGUGGCACGUGGAAAGUCAACACUUUUCAUAGUACCACUCCAAGGUACCCUUGAUACUUCACCUCUCCCCUACUCUGCGAAGGAGUUUGAAAAAAUGCCAAAAGCAUCAUGUCAUACCUGCUCUGAAAGCAUGCCAGUCCAGUUAUUGGCUGCACAUGUAGCAUCUUGUAAGACAGUAGAACUUCUUACUGACUCUGAU